This 426-nucleotide ribosomal RNA is filed under the name uncultured bacterium. RNAcentral's name for it is "bacterial SSU rRNA". It matches the Rfam family "Bacterial small subunit ribosomal RNA", at positions 355 to 773 of the family's 1533-position model. The record is from RNAcentral.
UGAGGAAUAUUGGACAAUGGGCGCAAGCCUGAUCCAGCCAUGCCGCGUGCAGGAUGAAGGCCUUCGGGUUGUAAACUGCUUUUGUACGGAACGAAAAGACUCCUUCUAAUAAAGGGGGUCCAUGACGGUACCGUAAGAAUAAGCACCGGCUAACUACGUGCCAGCAGCCGCGGUAAUACGUAGGGUGCGAGCGUUAAUCGGAAUUACUGGGCGUAAAGCGUGCGCAGGCGGUUAUAUAAGACAGAUGUGAAAUCCCCGGGCUCAACCUGGGACCUGCAUUUGUGACUGUAUAGCUAGAGUACGGUAGAGGGGGAUGGAAUUCCGCGUAUAGCAGUGAAAUGCGUAGAGAUGCGGGGGAACACCGAUGGCGAGAGCAAUCCCCUGGACCUGUACUGACGCUCAUGCACGAAAGCGUGGGGAGAAAAC